UACGGGGGGGGUAAGCGUUGUUCGGAAUUACUGGGCGUAAAGGGCUCGUAGGCGGCCAACUAAGUCGGACGUGAAAUCCCUCAGCUUAACUGGGGAACUGCGUCCGAUACUGGAUGGCUUGGAUUUGGGAGAGGGAUGCGGAAUUCCAGGUGUAGCGGUGAAAUGCGUAGAUAUCUGGAGGAACACCGGUGGCGAAGGCGGCAUCCUGGACCGACACUGACACUGAGGAGCGAAAGCCAGGGGAGCAAACGGG
RNAcentral lists this ribosomal RNA (253 nucleotides) under uncultured bacterium. RNAcentral describes it as "partial 16S ribosomal RNA". It matches the Rfam family "Bacterial small subunit ribosomal RNA", at positions 524 to 776 of the family's 1533-position model. The record is from RNAcentral.